AAAAGCAGAUCACCCACGACCAGCCGAUCAUCCCUUGCUGGCUCUGCGAAAACGUAGUGCACGCAAAAUGUAUUGGGUUUUCAGGCCUCGUGGGUGACGCAAUUUCAAAGCGGUCUGCAAAAAUGGUCUGCAUUACAGUUACGAGGCAUGUCGGUCUGUCGAAAAUGACAUGGUCACGUUUAUGAGGCAGACGCAAAAAGGCUUUAAGGAGCUGACCGUGGGCUUUAAAAAGCAGUAUGUAGUGGCGCUGGGAGUUGCAGCUGAACACAAAAUAAUUACAAGCAGCGAAUGAUAUUAUCGCAUGCGAUAAAGUUAGAUAAAUUAUGCUGACAGAAUCAAAGCUUAGCUCAGCAAAGCUUAGCUGUUAAAUCAGCUGAUUGGGUGAAGCUUUCGUUGAUGACAGCUGUCAACAUAAGCUUUUAGAACACGGUUUUAGCACUUCCGAUCGCAUUUAAACGGGACGAGCCCCCAGAAAAAUUCUUCUUUUCGUCUAUCUAAAAUUCUGAUCGGUUCGUGACCCGUCCGAUAGUGAGUUAAUUUUUCGACCCACCACGUGUGUGUGAAAAAGUAAAAAGUUAAAAACCGAACGCCGUGCAGUGAAUAUAAAUAUCAGUGAAUUUAAAUUUCACCUGGCCUAGAGCCAUCCCAACGUUUUUGGGCGAGCGUGCAAUCCACGCAACCCCAAACUUUUUGGACUGGCGUUCAAUCCACGCCAUCCACGACAGAAGAGAAAUAUAAUUAUCCACGGAAAUCCCGGAAAGAUUGGUAGGUCCAAUGUGGGAGAGACCCGAACAAAGGUUCUUAUAAUAGCUCUUGGCUGUAUUCCUUCCCCCCCCCACAGGGCUUCGCUACGCUUUCCCCCCACACUCAGCCAGAGCAGCAGCGCAUUGACGUUUUGUUGGCAAUACGCUGAGGGGUGGGGAAUUUUUCUUGGGAGACCGGUGGAAGCCCGGCUCCAGAACCUAUGUAACACCAUAGCCAUGAUGUAACUUCACAAUGACCAUGACGUAACCUUGCAGUAACCUCUGCGCAGGCGCCACAGCCGACAGUGUCGUACCGCUAAGAGGGCCACCAUUAUAUCUUAGGCUGCAAUCAAAGCCUAAAGCACUGUCUUUUAUUUUAAUAAUUAAUUAAAUUUAAAUUUUGUUAAUGCUAAUACUCUUUUCUAUUAUUAUAUUCUAUUUGAUUUAACGACCUUUAAUUCCCCCUUAAUUAUGUGACAUUAGUGAAAGAAGAAAGAAAGGAAAAAUAAGUUUGUAAGAGAAAAAAAAAUAUUGAACUAUAACGUGCAGUCGGCCAAAGCCAACAGGGAACCAUAAUUAAUAUAUUCCACAGCUUCUUCAAAACCCCAGCGAAAGGCCUUUCAGCGAGGGAGUACUGUAAGCAUACAUACAUGCAUACCAAACUGUGAGUGAUAAAAGAUCAAAUUUUUUUUGUUCCCUUUUGGUGCGUUCUUCCCGCUAGACGAACCGACCAGCGCAUAAAAGUUUAUGCACUAGCGCCAGAGCUUUGUUGCUUUUGCUGCUAUUGUAAUUUGUGCACGCCAUGCAUUCCAUGCAGUUGCGUACAUGGAGAAACUAAAACGAAAAGUACACUAGCCAACAAAAAAAAAUUAUUUUUUUGUUUUCCUUCUUUUCUUUUUUUUUGAACAUAUGCUUUUCAUUAUUAUAUUUAGUCCCAUUCAUUUAUAUUCCAUAUUCAAUAAUCGUAUCUUAAUUUAAUGUUACAUUUCACCUAUUAUAUUCAUACAUACAUUUACUUUUUCUUUG
RNAcentral lists this long non-coding RNA (1769 nucleotides) under Drosophila guanche. Lineage: Eukaryota; Metazoa; Arthropoda; Insecta; Diptera; Drosophilidae. The record is from RNAcentral.